GACGAACGCUGGCGACGUGCUUAACACAUGCAAGUCGAACGGAAAGGCCCUGCUUGCAGGGUACUCGAGUGGCGAACGGGUGAGUAACACGUGGGUGAUUUGCCCUGCACUUCGGGAUAAGCCUGGGAAACUGGGUCUAAUACCGGAUAGGAGCCAUUUUUAGUGUGAUGGUUGGAAAGUUUUUUCGGUGUAGGAUGAGCUCGCGGCCUAUCAGCUUGUUGGUGGGGUAAUGGCCUACCAAGGCGGCGACGGGUAGCCGGCCUGAGAGGGUGGACGGCCACAUUGGGACUGAGAUACGGCCCAGACUCCUACGGGAGGCAGCAGUGGGGAAUAUUGCACAAUGGGCGCAAGCCUGAUGCAGCGACGCCGCGUGGGGGAUGACGGCCUUCGGGUUGUAAACUCCUUUCGCUAGGGACGAAGCUUUUUGUGACGGUACCUAGAUAAGAAGCACCGGCUAACUACGUG
RNAcentral lists this ribosomal RNA (465 nucleotides) under uncultured bacterium. Its description in RNAcentral is "partial 16S ribosomal RNA". It matches the Rfam family "Bacterial small subunit ribosomal RNA", at positions 28 to 507 of the family's 1533-position model. The record is from RNAcentral.